This 29-nucleotide non-coding RNA is filed under the name Rattus norvegicus (Norway rat). The record is from RNAcentral. Lineage: Eukaryota; Metazoa; Chordata; Mammalia; Rodentia; Muridae.
UAGAAUCUUUGAUGCUGGAGAAAAGUGUC